GCAGCCGUGGCCCAGUGGUUAAGGCGAUGGACUAGAAAUCCAUUGAGGUCUCCCCGCACAGGUUCAAAUCCAGUUCAUUGCG
Non-coding RNA from Ixodes scapularis (black-legged tick), 82 nucleotides. The record is from Rfam. NCBI's taxonomy places the organism in Eukaryota, Metazoa, Arthropoda, Arachnida, Ixodida, Ixodidae.